CCUACGGGUGGCAGCAGUGAGGAAUAUUGGUCAAUGGACGAGAGUCUGAACCAGCCAAGUAGCGUGAAGGAUGACGGCCCUAUGGGUUGUAAACUUCUUUUAUAUGGGAAUAAAACAGGGUAUGCAUACCCUCUUGUAGGUACCAUAUGAAUAAGGAUCGGCUAACUCCGUGCCAGCAGCCGCGGUAAUACGGAGGAUCCGAGCGUUAUCCGGAUUUAUGGGGUUUAAAGGGAGCGUAGGUGGAUUGUUAAGUCAGUGGUGAAAGUUUGCGGCUCAACCGUAAAAUUGCAGUUGAAACUGGCAGGCUUGAGUGCAGGAGAGGUGGGCGGAAUUCGUGGUGUAGCGGUGAAAUGCUUAGAUAUCACGAAGAACUCCGAUUGCGAAGGCAGCUCACUGGACUGCAACUGACACUGAUGCUCGAAAGUGUGGGUAUCAAACAGGAUUAGAUACCCCUGUAGUC
Molecule: ribosomal RNA, 460 nt
Filed under: uncultured bacterium
Lineage: Bacteria
Description: partial 16S ribosomal RNA
Rfam family: Bacterial small subunit ribosomal RNA
Source: RNAcentral